AUUGAACGCUGGCGGCAUGCCUAACACAUGCAAGUCGAACGGGUGUAGCAAUACAUCAGUGGCGCACGGGAUAGUAACGCGUGGGAAUCUGCCUCGUAGUUCGGAAUAACACCGGGAAACUGGUGCCAAUACCGAAUACGCCCUUCGGGGGAAAGUUUUUCGCUAUGAGAGGAGCCCGCGUUGGAUUAGCUAGUUGGUGAGGUAACGGCUCACCAAGGCGACGAUCCAUAGCUGGUCUGAGAGGACGAUCAGCAUCACUGGGACUGAGACACGGCCCAGACUCCUACGGGAGGCAGCAGUGGGGAAUAUUGGACAAUGGGGGAAACCCUGAUCCAGCAAUGCCGCGUGAGUGAUGAAGGUCUUCGGAUUGUAAAGCUCUUUUGGCAGGGACGAUGAUGACGGUACCUGCAGAAUAAGCCCCGGCUAACUUCGUGCCAGCCGCCGCCGUAA
RNAcentral lists this ribosomal RNA (450 nucleotides) under uncultured bacterium. RNAcentral's name for it is "partial 16S ribosomal RNA". It matches the Rfam family "Bacterial small subunit ribosomal RNA", at positions 30 to 523 of the family's 1533-position model. The record is from RNAcentral.